Molecule: long non-coding RNA, 384 nt
Organism: Eubalaena glacialis (North Atlantic right whale)
Lineage: Eukaryota; Metazoa; Chordata; Mammalia; Artiodactyla; Balaenidae
Exons: 3
Source: RefSeq, a predicted model, not a curated record
UUUUGAAACAAAGCAUUUGCCUUUAUCUCUUCCGAGGCAUCCAGAAACCUCCCACUGUGGACUGUUCAGUUCACUCACAGAAGGACUUUCUAACUCCUCAUGGGUUUCUUUCUGAGCUUAGAGAUCGCUCGGAUGACAGCUUAAUAAAGGGCAGAAAGAACAAAGUGGAAAGAUACAGACACCCUCUGAGGCCUGUCCUGGAGGCAUGAUGCAACCAUUAGGAAGAGGGAGUGGCUGAGAGGUGGCAGCUCCAAAUGCCCUGUUGGAAAGUUGAGCAAGGGCAGAAAAGAUGUCAACCUGGAAGCUGGAGAUGCCACGCGGAGCUGGGGAGCCCAGGGCCAAUCAGCAGGACUCACCUCCCUCUGGAUGGACCGGCUGAGAAAC